RNAcentral lists this ribosomal RNA (465 nucleotides) under uncultured bacterium. Its description in RNAcentral is "bacterial SSU rRNA". It matches the Rfam family "Bacterial small subunit ribosomal RNA", at positions 329 to 792 of the family's 1533-position model. The record is from RNAcentral.
GGCCAGACUCCUACGGGAGGCAGCAGUGAGGAAUAUUGGUCAAUGGGCGAGAGCCUGAACCAGCCAAGUCGCGUGAGGGAGUACUGCCCUAUGGGUUGUAAACCUCUUUUGUCGGGGAGCAAAAGCCGGACGUGUCCGGCUGUGAGAGUACCCGAAGAAAAAGCAUCGGCUAACUCCGUGCCAGCAGCCGCGGUAAUACGUAGGGGGCGAGCGUUAUCCGGAUUUACUGGGUGUAAAGGGAGCGUAGACGGUUCUGCAAGUCUGAAGUGAAAGCCCGUGGCUUAACCGCGGAACGGCUUUGGAAACUGUGGAACUGGAGUGCUGGAGAGGCAAGCGGAAUUCCUAGUGUAGCGGUGAAAUGCGUAGAUAUUAGGAGGAACACCAGUGGCGAAGGCGGCUUGCUGGACAGUAACUGACGUUGAGGCUCGAAAGCGUGGGGAGCAAACAGGAUUAGAUACCCCGGUA